Molecule: ribosomal RNA, 465 nt
Filed under: Vreelandella stevensii
Lineage: Bacteria; Pseudomonadati; Pseudomonadota; Gammaproteobacteria; Oceanospirillales; Halomonadaceae
Description: partial 16S ribosomal RNA
Rfam family: Bacterial small subunit ribosomal RNA
Source: RNAcentral
CCUACGGGAGGCUGCAGUGGGGAAUAUUGGACAAUGGGGGCAACCCUGAUCCAGCCAUGCCGCGUGUGUGAAGAAGGCCCUCGGGUGGUAAAGCACUUUCAGUGAGGAAGAACGCCUGGUGGUUAAUACCCAUCAGGAAAGACAUCACUCACAGAAGAAGCACCGGCUAACUCCGUGCCAGCAGCCGCGGUAAUACGGAGGGUGCGAGCGUUAAUCGGAAUUACUGGGCGUAAAGCGCGCGUAGGUGGCUUGAUAAGCCGGUUGUGAAAGCCCCGGGCUCAACCUGGGAACGGCAUCCGGAACUGUCAAGCUAGAGUGCAGGAGAGGAAGGUAGAAUUCCCGGUGUAGCGGUGAAAUGCGUAGAGAUCGGGAGGAAUACCAGUGGCGAAGGCGGCCUUCUGGACUGACACUGACACUGAGGUGCGAAAGCGUGGGUAGCAAACAGGAUUAGAUACCCUAGUAGUC